AAAGCUGCUUAAUCAUUCAGACCAGACCCAAGACCUUUCUUCGUUCCUUUUUAUUUUUAUCCUUAAGGACUUCUUUGGUAUCUGACAAGCUUUUGGAGGCUCUUUUUUUUCCGAGCACCCACACCAUCUCAUGUUUCCAGAGGGAUGAAAAAGUUUCUGUACCCCCACUUCACCUUUAGGAUGCUUUCUAGUCACAAUGCACACGGGAAAACCCCUGCCAACUGACAACACACAGCAGCCUCCAGUAACCCAGGUCAGGCUUGAAGACGCUGAAGAAAAUGCCUAUAAGUGAUGAACUGCUUGUCUUUUAAUGCCUGUUGAGACUUCACUGUUACAGAGUUAGAUGACCAGCUAAGAUGUACACAUCUCUGCUGCUGACACACACAUGAGAAGCCCAUCUAUUAAGACAUCUGUAUACCCGG
Lepidothrix coronata (blue-crowned manakin) is the source of this 422-nucleotide long non-coding RNA. RefSeq lists it as uncharacterized. The transcript has 4 exons. Lineage: Eukaryota; Metazoa; Chordata; Aves; Passeriformes; Pipridae. The record is from RefSeq and is a predicted model, not a curated record.